CUUUAUUUUAAAAAGUUUUGCUGUUUUACAGUCAGGACAGGGAUUUAUUUUGCCCAUCCUCUUCUGGGGAUGGUAGAUUCACAGGGAGCCGUGUUCUUGCAGUGCAGAGAUUGCCCCUUUAAGCAGAAAGCUGUUUGUCAGCAGCUGAAACUUUGAAGUGUUAGUCAUUGGAGUUUGGCACAUCAGUGGUGCACUGACAGCUGAGGCAUCAGAGGCACUGGGAAGUGGCAGGAAUACUGAUUCCAGCACAACUGCAUAUGGAAAGGGAAUAAGAAAUGCAGCCCAUAGAGAACUGUCAUGGAAGCUGUAUUCUGCCGGACCAAACUUUUAUUAAUGAUGCAGCCACAGGAGCUCAUUAAGCAUCUGCAGACUACUAGGAUUUUACAUAAAGCACAAACAACAGCAAGAUCCAGAUUCUGCUGCUGCUAUGGAUCAGAAAGGUCACAGGAGGCACCCGUGGGCUUAUUUAUGGGUACACAGCCAGCCUGAGCCUGAGCAAGUGCCCAAUGAAAGCCAUAUGGUAGCAAGCAGCCACUCACAGCCCCAUGGCAGCUG
Molecule: long non-coding RNA, 555 nt
Filed under: Coturnix japonica (Japanese quail)
Lineage: Eukaryota; Metazoa; Chordata; Aves; Galliformes; Phasianidae
Description: lncRNA (ENSCJPG00005014762.1)
Source: RNAcentral